Long non-coding RNA from Homo sapiens (human), 4833 nucleotides. RefSeq lists it as uncharacterized. NCBI's taxonomy places the organism in Eukaryota, Metazoa, Chordata, Mammalia, Primates, Hominidae. The record is from RefSeq and is a predicted model, not a curated record. The transcript has 3 exons.
GAGAACGAAAGCAAGACCCACUGGUUUUGAGUGUGUUUUUCUGUUUCACCAUUUGGUAUCCUUGAAUUGACACAGAUACUGGGAAACACAAAGUGUUGGCCAUAGCAGAGGCUCCCAGCACUCUGGGGGAAAGAAGAGCCUGGAGUUGCUUAUUCCUACAUCUCCCACUGACCCACUGACUAGCAGGGUGACUGUCUUUCUUGAUCUCAGAUGCCCACUUGAAAAAAGAACAGUAAAAAUACAGCCCGUACCCAUGUGUGAACAGGCUGCUGAUGAGGUCUUCCCUCCUCAUGUCUAGGCCUUCGGACUGCAGGCCUUCUCUCCUAGGGGUCUUUUCCCACCCCCACACUCAGGAGCGUGUACAGAUGUUCCCUCUUCCUCCAAGAAAGUGUACCUGAAAUAUGCCAUACGUGUGCCCAGGAGCCACAGCCACAAGCAGGGACAUCUCAACCUCAGGACCUCUGCAUGGCAUCAUCAAGGAGCCAGAGACCCAGAAAGCCUGGAUGCCAAAGGUCACGUGGAGGUAAACAGGAAGCAUAGAACCCCAGGUGCUGUCAGGAGCUACCUGACAACCACAUGGGAAAUCAUUCCGAAGGUGAAACUGCCACAGAGAGCGAGAGACACAGCCCCGGUGACUUUAUCAACCUCUGGAACAAACUAGCCUGAAGCCCUUCCUAUCUCUUGACUUUACAGGUCACAUAGCACCAGAGCUCAGCAUCUUCAGCUUCUCAAUAAAUAAGAGAGUGCAUGAAAAGCAGCAAUAUACAGGUAAUCCUUAAAAAGGAAAGCUUCUCCCUUCUUCCCUUUCCUGUUGCAGUCAAAGCAAUUUCACCUACACCAUCAAAAGAUGGAUUUCUAGAUUGCUCAUGGAGAAAUAUACUUGUUAGCCUGGACUGUUUGGGGCUUUUUCAAAUAGUUGCAUGCCUUGGGAGAUACGAUUGAUAGAAGAUGUGGCACACGAACCAUUUGGAGUACAGAGAGGCACUGGAACACUAGCUACUGGGUUGAGUUGAAAACUGAGAACCGGUUUAGUUAAGAUUUUAUUAAUUACUUUUCCAUGAUUCCACUUGCUGCUUGGGACUCGCAUAAGCAAGGAUAGAGAAUCCAAUGGAAAGGCAUUUUCAUGGGUUGGAAAGCAAAUCUCUCCUCCACAGUGUGAUUCAGGGACCCAGGUGCCUCCCGCUUGGUGGCUCUCCUCAACCCCAGCUGGAGUCCCUGUGGGACACAGGGAGCUCAGGAGCUUCCAUAAACAGGGAUGGGAAAGACAGACACCUUCAUUUUCACUCGCCUCUAACUGACAUAUAGCUUUGGUUCUAUUAUGAAUGCCGGAAACAGACGGCAGUAGUAUUAGCAGCCCCCGUGAACUUUCUGGCUGUGGAAAUCAGAUACUUUCUCAUCACAUUUCUGCUGUGGAUAUCAUGAAACUUUGUCUACUUUCAUUUGAAAUUGCAGUAGCUACUACAUCCUGUUACUGAAUGCACUGGUAAAGUGCACGCAUGUUUAUAUGUUGCUCCAUAUGUUUGUAUAUAUUUCAGUGUCAUCAAUUUCCUUUCUGCUCCUACAUAGUUCUCAGAUUUAAAAGCAUUGUUCUGAUAAAGUUCCAGAGACUUCACCAGAUGUUGAAGGGUCCAGGGCCUAAUAAAAUUAAUACGCCAUACCCUGGGGGCUUGUUCUGCACAUCUGCCAGUGAGAAGGAAAGGAGGGGGAGAUGUCACCUCCAUAACACAAGCCUUGGCUGAGAUGUGACAUGCACCACCCUCACUCAAACCUCCUCCAAGUGCCUGUCACCAGGGGGACACGGGGGCCAGGACAUGGAGUGGUCGAGUGGGCAGCACCUGGCUGUGUGCUGUGGGAGCACUCUGCUUUCAACGGCAGGAAGGGAAUGGGUUGGGGUGGGGGCGGGGUAGUGGGAGGCCCCUGUUACCAGUGCUAAGAGCCAGGACUGUUACAAGAUUCAAAAGAGACCACCCAUGCAAUGCCUUUCCCUGGGCCUAAACACACUUAUUAUUAUUACUGUGUAAUUGUUAUGCCCUAGUAUGUCUGUUUCCCUGUGGGUUUCCCCCAGAGACUGUGAACUACUUGAAGCAAAGGGCUGUGUCUGAUUCAUCUCAUUAUUUCCAGCUUUGACCACAGGGUCAUCGUUGUUCAUUUGUCCCAAUAUUUGUGGGAUUCCACUGGGAACAAAGUGAAUUGGGACAAGUGAAUAAUGAUGACAUACAGUUGUUUUUCUGACACUUCUGCCCCCAGGAAAACAAGGCAAAAGGCCUGUGACUCUGUCUUCAGGCAGUGGGACAUGUUCUUAAACGACGGAGCCACAUCCAUGCCUCUACCUUCCAGUAAGGUUUGCCUGCUUAAGCAUACUUGUUGAAAAUCAAUUGCACAUGAACCCUCACAUGUACACGUGUGCACACACAGAUGCAUGCACACACAUACACACAUGCACACACCAGCCAGACACUGCCUCUUUCCUUCUCCGACUCCCACCCUGCCUCCAAGAGGAAUAUUUAUGAUUUUUAAUAAACUGUGACCACAGCUAAUUAGGCUCCUCACCCAUGCCCCCAAGGCCACUAAGGGGCUGUGACGGUUGGCAUUUCCUAUCUCCAAGUGCAACGAGGCCGCACAUGCCACACUGAUGAACUCACGGUGUAGCAGACUCCAUCCCUGCCGUCUGGGAGAAUGCUCGUCUUUCAAACCAGAUUAAAAGAAAACAAGAGCUGGGCCCAUCCCAGCAUCAUGAGCCCAGAAUUAUGCACUUCACUGAAGUAGGAAUGUGGCCCAUUCAUUACUGUGUGUCAUCAAUUAAUGACUAUGUGAAAUACGGCCCCCAGGGUGUGCUGAUCCCCCCAGAGGGUGGCGGGAGGGACUGCUGUGUGCUGCUGAGCUGGUUUAACUCCCCCGGCACGGAGAAGGAUCUCCUGCCUGUGUGCCUUAGAGCUGCGUUUUGGGAGAGGAGCAGGGAGGUCCCCAAAGGGCGUGGGCAUCUGGGGAGAGAAAAGCUGCUGUGGUUCAUUUCCUGAACUCAGUGGGCAGCAACAUGGAGUGGCCUGCCUCACCCAGGGGACCAGGCCAAUGUGUUACAUGCAAUUUAGUGACAGGUAUUAGUCGCUCCCGGGCAGCGACUGAACCAUCCUGGCUCAUUAACUCCAAGGACUGACGUGGCCAGCAGGGAGGAGAGGACUGGAGGGUCAGCAGUCAGCCUAGUCCCUUGCAGUGGCUGAAGGGAUCCCAUCUUCAAGAGACAUUCGCAGGCCUGAUGCUUCUCUGUGUGAGAGGGAGGGGAACUGAGGGUGAGGGCGAAUCCUUGAUCUCAUUCCUGCUAUGGUGCUGGUGUACAUGGAGCCAGGCUGCUGGGCUGAGUGCCAUGGCCGCAUGCACCAGCCAAGGGACCAGGGCAGUGGCUUUGUAGCCUGUGUGUGUCUCCACUUCCUCCCCAUGGAAUAGAGAUGACCAAGGUGGAUCCCUGGCUCUAGGGUUGCUGGAAGCAUCAGAUGCACUCAUUGGUGCACAUGCUUAGAGCCAGCACAGGCACUAGAAGGAAUGUAAGGGCCCGUUUUUAUCAGGGAUAUGCUUGCAAAACCAUCUGUGCCACAGAGACUAUAGGUGAAAAACAGGUGUGAAAAUCCUGAUGACCCAGCUUCCUUUAAACUUUUUCUAAAGUUAUACUGAUUCUUCACAAGGGAUGUAUUGGUCAAGGUUCUCCAGAGAAACAGCUCCAACAGGAUAGACAGGCAUGUAUACUGGAGGACAUUCGUUAUGGGAAUUGGCUACUAAUUUUUCAUAAUGGAUGUAUUGGGCAAGGUUCUCCAGAGAAACAGCUCCAACAGGAUAGACAGGCAUGUAUAUCGGAGGACAUUCAUUAUGGGAAUUGGCUCAGGCGAUGGUGAAGGCCAAGGAGUCCUACAAUCUGCUAUAAGCAAGCUGGAGAAUGGGAAAGUGAGUGGCGCAAUUCAGUUCAAGUCUGAAGGCCUGAGAGCCAGGAGGGCCAAUGGUGCAGCUCCCAGCCCAGGGCCGAGGUCUGAAACCAGGGAUGGGAUACUGGAGUAAGUCCAGGGAUCCAAAGGCCCACAAACCAGGAGCACUGAUGUCUGAGGGCAGCACAAGACAGAUGUCCCAGGCCUGAAGAGAGAAGGAACUCGCCCUUUCUCUGCCUUUUUGUUUUAUCCAGGCCCUCAGGGGAUCGGAUGGGGACCACCUACUUUGGGGAAGAGUGUUCUUUUUACUCAGGCUACUGAUUGUGAUGCCCAUCUCUUCCAGAAACACCCUCACAGACACACCCAGAAAUCGUGUAAUCCCAGCUACAUGGGCAUCCUUUAGCCCAGUCAAAUUGACAUACGAAAUUCACCAUCACGAGCCCACCCUUCAUCAACCUGGCACCCAUGUGCAUCUCCUUAGAUCACACUCCAUCAUCUCCAAAUAAAGACAAAAUAAGGUGUGAAUCCACCUAACAUCAAACAGCUCUCCUGCAUACAACCGGAAACACACCAGCCUCUUCCCCAGAGAGGAGAUUAAGACCCUGAGUGUUCACUCCCGACAUCUUAUAACUUAACACGAUGAUGUCAAAUUAACAAUACUGCAAUACUGAUAGAAAGCCAAUUCAUCUUAUGUUACAUGAUAAAGAAAUAUGAGAGGAAAGAAAACAAAGACAUUUGCUGAAUGUGUACAUUUACACACAUGUAUUCAUAGGAAGAAGAAGGAAAUGCUCUUGUCAGGUGGCAAAUGCUGUGUAUGAUAUUCUGAUUUCCAAAGGGUAAAUUUGAACAUUUUGUUUUUUAACCUGUUGAGAGUAUGUUUUGUGCUGUCUUUACAAUGUAUUGAAGUAUCUGUUUUCCUGGC